Molecule: ribosomal RNA, 577 nt
Filed under: Chelonibia testudinaria
Lineage: Eukaryota; Metazoa; Arthropoda; Thecostraca; Balanomorpha; Chelonibiidae
Description: eukaryotic LSU rRNA
Rfam family: Eukaryotic large subunit ribosomal RNA
Source: RNAcentral
UGAUCAGAGGAGCUGGGCUCCUUGCGAGCUCAACCUAUUCUCAAACUUUCAAUGGGUGAGACGUCUCGCUGGCUUCACUGCAGCGACGACUCUGAAUCCGAGUGCCCAGUGGGCCACUUUUGGUAAGCAGAACUGGCGAUGCGGGAUGAACCGCAUGUCGAGUUAAGGUGCCUAAGCGGACGCAAAUCAGAUACCAUGAAAGGUGUUGAUUGCUCACGACAGCAGGACGGUGGCCAUGGAAGUCGGCAUCCGCUAAGGAGUGUGUAACAACUCACCUGCCGAAGCAAUCAGCCCUGAAAAUGGAUGGCGCUAAAGCGUUCCACCGAUACUCGACCGUCGUCGGCACGCGACCGGCCUCUCAGGCCGGUCUCAGGCCACGACGAGUAGGGCGGCGCGGCGGUGAGCGUCGAAGGCGUAGCCGUGAGGCUAGCUGGAGCCGCCAUCGGUGCAGAUCUUGGUGGUAGUAGCAAAUACACAAGCAAGAUCCUUGUGGACCGAUGUGGAGAAGGGUUCCGCGCGAACAGUACUUGGACGUGGGUGAGUCGGCCCUAAGCCAACGGGUAAUUCCCGCAUCCCG